UGCAGGAGGACGUGGCCAAGAGCGUCCUGUUGUCAUCCACAUGUGUGGCCUCUUCAGUUUCUCCCACUCUCUGGUCAGUCUGUUCAGCAGCUCCCCUUUCCAGCAGGUGGAACAAGGGUGGGCAGGAACUGAGGCGGACGUGGACUUAGCACAGGACAGCACAAAACUCUGGGCUUGGCAAGAUCUGAGAAACCUUUACUUCCCCAGACCAGCAGGAGAAACGGAGUUCACAGGCAACACACACAGACACACACAAAUAUACAGAUACACACACAGAGAUACACAGAGAUACACACACACACAGAACACACACAUACACAGACACACACAAAUAUAGACACACACAGAGACAGAGAGACACAAAUAUACAGACACACACACAGAGAGACAGAGAUACACAUACAUACACACACACAGAACACACACACAGACACACACAAAUAUACAGACACACACAGACAGAUACACAAACAUACACAGAGAACACACACAUACACAGACACAAAUAUACAGACACACACACAGAGAUACACAUACACACACACACACAUACACAGACACACACAAAUAUACAGACACACAGAGACACACAGAGAUGCACACACAAACAUAUACACACACAGAACACACACAUACAUACACAGACAUACACAAAUAUACAGAGACACACAGAGAUACACAUACACACACAGAACACACAAAUAUAUACUCAGACACAUAGAAAUAUAUAAAUACAGACAGAGAGACACACAGAGAUACACAAACACACACACAGAACACACACAUACACAGGCACACACAAAUAUACAGACACACACAGAGAGACACACAGAGAUACACAUACACACACAGCACACACACAUACACAGACAGACACAGAGAGACACACAGAGAUACAUGGACAUACACACACACACACACCCAUACACAGAUACACACAAAUAUACAGAUACAUAGAGAGACACACAGAGAUACUCACACAAACAUACACACACACAUACAUACUCAGACACAAAGAUACAGAUACACACAGAGAGACACAGAGAACACACACAUACAUAGACACACACAAAUAUACAGACACACACAGAGAGACACACAGAGAUACUCACACAAACAUACACACAGAACACACACAUACAUACACACACAAAUAUACAGAUACACACAGACAGACACACAGAGAUACACACACACACAGAACACACACACAUACACAGAUACAAAUAUACAGACACACACAGACACAGAUACACAAACAUACACACAUGCACAGAACACACACAGACACACAUACACAGACAUGCAGAUACACACACACAUUGACACACAUACAAACACACACAGUAGCGCACACACACAGACACAGACACAGCCAGACACACACAGAGACACAGAGAUGCACCACACUGAAUCCUGUAGGAAGAGCCCAAAUGCCCGUCACAGGCCAAGCUCAGUUCCCUGACAUCUCCAGAUCCAGCAAAGACCACAUCCUCAUCUGCAUAUGCAGCUAACAAAAUACCAACGCUGCACAAGUGAUAAAGAGCAAACAUUUAUUUCCUCCCCAUUCCAGAGGCUGAGAAGUCCAGGGUCCAGGCACCAGCAGGUUUGGUGUCUGCGAGGGCCGCUCUCUGCUCCCAGGACGGCACCUUGUGCUGCCACCUCUGGGGUGGAAGGUGAGGGACAGGUGCGGAACAGGCGCUGUGUGAGCCUCCUUCACGAGAGCCUUGAUUCCCUCAGGAGGAGCAGCCCUCACGGCCUCACCAGCUCUUGGUGGCCCCACCUCUUUGCACCAUCCCUUUGGCCAUUAUGUCUCAACCCCUGGGGUCAGACUCAGACUUGAUGCCCAAGAUCUGACCAGGAGCCAUGGGGUGCUGGCACCGUCCCAGGCUCUGGCAUUACAGGGCAGACAUGAAACACUGUGGAC
Molecule: long non-coding RNA, 1927 nt
Filed under: Homo sapiens (human)
Lineage: Eukaryota; Metazoa; Chordata; Mammalia; Primates; Hominidae
Description: HSALNT0049698
Source: RNAcentral